GCAGCCUGCAACUCGGCUGCAUGAAGCUGGAAUCGCUAGUAAUCGCGGAUCAGAAUGCCGCGGUGAAUACGUUCCCGGGUCUUGUACACACCGCCCGUCACACCAUGGGAGUCGGGAAUGCCCGAAGUCAGUGACCCAACCGAAAGGGGGAGCUGCCGAAGGCAGGCCUGGUAACUGGGGUGAAGUCGUAACAAGGUAUC
RNAcentral lists this ribosomal RNA (200 nucleotides) under uncultured bacterium. Its description in RNAcentral is "partial 16S ribosomal RNA". It matches the Rfam family "Bacterial small subunit ribosomal RNA", at positions 1300 to 1500 of the family's 1533-position model. The record is from RNAcentral.